UACGAAGGGGGCUAGCGUUGCUCGGAAUCACUGGGCGUAAAGGGUGCGUAGGCGGGUCUUUAAGUCAGGGGUGAAAUCGCCCGGCUCAACUGGGCGGGGUCGGCGGAUACGGCCGAGCUGGAGCAAGCUAGGGGGUAAUGGAAUUCCCGGUGUAGUGGUGGAAUGCGUAGAUAUCGGGAGGAACACCAGUGGCGAAGGCGGUUACCUGGAGCUUUGCUGACGCUGAUGCGCGAAAGCGUGGGGAGCGAUCCGG
This 253-nucleotide ribosomal RNA is filed under the name uncultured bacterium. RNAcentral's name for it is "partial 16S ribosomal RNA". It matches the Rfam family "Bacterial small subunit ribosomal RNA", at positions 524 to 776 of the family's 1533-position model. The record is from RNAcentral.